UAAUUACUCCCUUCAUCCCAAAAUUCUUGUCUUAGAUUUAUCUAAAUAUGAACGUAUCUAAUCACGUUUUAGUAUUUAGAUAUAUUCAUUUCUAGAUAAAUUUAAGACAAGAAUUUUGGGACGGAAGGAGUACUAU
Non-coding RNA from Hordeum vulgare subsp. vulgare (domesticated barley), 136 nucleotides. The record is from Rfam. NCBI's taxonomy places the organism in Eukaryota, Viridiplantae, Streptophyta, Magnoliopsida, Poales, Poaceae.